GAACUCAAUUAAAAUAAAAUGUCUUUGAAAUAUUUGUAGUAGUGGCGCUGACUUAUAAUCAACAUUUUUUAACAAUAUUAAUUUGUUACUAAUUGAUUUUGAUUAUAAUUAUGUGAUAGCUAUAAUACAACCAAUUUCUGGACUGAAAUAAUCAAGUGCUACGCCCUUGACAUUUAGAUACGUUUGAUAUUUGCGAAACACGUUUUAUUCCUGUUAUUGUUUUGAUCCGAUAUCGUUAUGAUAAAAGCUUAUUGAGAUAUCGGAUAAGCGACUUCUGCCGCGAUCAAUGCAAGCUGCAAUUGCACUAAAGACCAUCGUUCUCAAGGACGAAUUGCGAAAUAAUAAUGUCAUCGCAAUCACGAUGAUCGCGCGCAUCAAGAUCGAGAGCACUCUAGAUUACUUUGUAAAAUUGACGUAAUUGAGUAAUCAAAAUGUAGGUAAACAAUGUUUCGAUGAGAUUGCAAUUACGAUAAUCAUCUUUUGAAAUGAGGAAAAUGUAUAUGCUGCAUUUGAAAGAAAAUAUUAUGCUUUUUUGCGUCAACAACUACGUAUCAGUUUUGAAGAGAUCGUCGCUCAUUUUAAGGAAUAUCUUUCACUGUUAUCGUCGAUGAAGCACAAAAUAUAAUUUUAUCGUUUAUCUACCACGCAUACUUGCGCCACAAGCCAACUCGUCUCGCAUCUCUUCUCCUUUUCGUCGCGUCUUGCGGCAACAGGUUCCACAACAUGAAGCAUGCUGAAAUGAAGACAUCCAGACUGAGGCUGGUACGAUAAUGAUUUUAACGAUUUCUUCUAGCGUUCGUCGGACGAGCAUAGGAAGGAAUUAGACUUUUUACAAACUUCAAACUUUUUUGAGUAUACAUUUAUCGAGCAGUAAUAAAAAGCAGUGAAAUGUAAUUUAAAAGUGACGUUAAGUGCGGAAGAGAAAUUAUUAUAUUACGACGAGAGUAAAGAGGAUCGAAAGAAGAGGCGAAUUCUCACUACUUUCAUCAAGAAGAAAAAAAUGGAAACUAGCUGAUAAGAUAGAAGACGGGUGACGCACUACAUAUGAUAUGAAUUGCGGAAAAUAAGUCUCCCUUUUUUAUUUUUUAAUCAUGAGAACAUCAUCCACAAGAUAAAAUUGCUCAAACGGAGUCGUUCUAGUAUUCCUUAUUUAAGGAAUAUGAUAUUGUAUUACUCUAACUUCAUUUUAACAGCGUGCAGUAUUACAAUCUUCACGUUGUGUCUAAUUUGUUUCCAUUGGAUAAAUUAAAAAAAUUGUUAGGAAUUCCAUCGAAAUCUGCACAUAUGCAUGUAUUUGAUUUUUAUUCGUGCAUUAACGUCGACGUAUACAUAUGUAACACAUCGUACAGCUUCAGGUCGUGUCCGAAGGAACAUAUUAAGUCUCGCGGACGCGCGUAUGCACCGGCGUUGCUCAACGCUGCGGACGCGGCGCGGCGUAGCGGUAUAUGCGUCCGACGGGUAGCCGAUUUCGCGGCGCGAAAAAGCAAUGUAGGAACGUAGCCUGUGUACGGACCGUUGCGAGAGAGGGACAGACGGAGAGGAGAGGAUGGCGACCGCGUGGGAUACGGGUGAGAAGGGAGCGCGAGGAUGGCAAGCGAGUCCGUCGUGACCGAAGCGCACCGCGAGAGGUCGGUCAUGUUCGCCGUGUGACGUCAUGAGGCAAUGGCGCCGCCUCCGUGGCGAGCGAGCCGGCCGAUUGGUUGCUGGAAAUGAUGGCAGGCAUGCUUGCCAAUCGAUUGCCCGCGGUGCGUGCGAAGCGCAGUACAUCGGUCCGAUAUGAGCCCCACUCUACUUCGUCGUAGGGUUGAUGGAGAGGGGGCGCGCUUCAUCGGGAGAAGGGGUACGGCCGCCUUCGGCAGGAAGUGAGCUCCCGACCCCGCGGCGUGAAAUAGAAUUCAGACGGUUUCGUUCUCUCGUGGAGAGUGGAAGUUGUUUCAUUUCUUCUGCAUUGAACUGUAUAUUCUUCGUCGUCGUUGACGAGCGGGAACGGAGCGAUAUAAGCGAAAACAAAAGCAACGUCAUCGCUUUCAGCCGGUACGUGGUUGCGGUUCGAAAGCCCUUGCGCAGGGGGUCGACAGUUUCCUCGUUGACACGGAUAAGUGCAUACGCGGGUGAAAAACCAAAGACAGAAACAGUGUUCGUAAACUUGACCGGGCCGUUGAUUUUCGCCGUUGAUCCGUUCUCCGCUUACGCUACUUGUGCCGCAGAUACGACACGCCGUUUAGGGAGUGCCAUCGUUUUAUUUCGAAAGAGACCGCCGCUCCAUAGCACUCGCGUUUAGUUGGCGCGUCGUUGCCGCAUCGUCGUGACGCGAUUCGUCGAGCUUAGUGUGGUCCGCAGCCAGUCAGAGUGGUUGGCGAAUGGUACGGAGUGGUGAGAGACUAACAGUGAGGGGAAGAAAGUGACAGUGCAGUCAGUUCUCUCACGGACUCUGUGACUCAAGGAUCGUUCGAGGUUCGCUCCGGUGAUUUUUAUUGGAAAGGAAAUCGGGGGGGGAAAAAAAGAGAAACGGAUGAACGCACGUAUCGCAAAACGACGUGUGGAGGACUAUAGUAUACCGAUGACUAUGGUAUACCGAUAGUAUGACGAUCGCGAGUGUUGUUCCUCGCCGAGACCGUGUUCGCGUGGAGUUGGUUGCCUCAUGAACGGUAUUCGGCAUUCGUUUUCGGCGACUGGAGCCGGAGUCGUUGUUGCGCAAAACGAGGAUUGAUCACAAUACGUAGAUCGUAACAGCACGGAAUGGUCGUUCGUGCCACAUCAUCGAUCGUGUGAUCGAAUCGAUCAUCGUACGCCGGUGAUCAGGAGACGUGCCACUUAGCGUUCGUACGGAGUGUCUUAGUAGUGAUUAUUACCGGUGACUUGGAUAAUUCGCGAUCGACUUUUAUGUCGCAUUACUCCGCACGCGAAGGUGAAAAACAUUAAGGAGUUAACCGGGUGAUCGGAGCUUGUACGACGGGUCAACCCCGCGUUGACCUGAAAUUGACAUUUCAAGCGUAUUUCCCGUUUGAUUUUCUUGACACUCGAACAGUACCAGAAAAGAGCAGCAAACUGUACGGGCACAGGCAGGAAGAGAUGCACACGAUGGAGACGGACAUGAAGGGCGGCAGUCUGCAUGCUCAGAUGCCACCGCAUCCGCAUCAGGGUGUAUCGCCGAUGGGCCACCAUACGGGGAUGUCCCCUUACGGAUCUAUAGGAUCGAUAGUUCAUAGCUCCGGACUGUCGGGAAGUCCACCCGGCGCGGGUGGCCUGGGACUUGGUCUUCAACAUCACCAUCAGACCUCGCAGCAUCAUUACGCGUCCAUGCAGGUGGCCGUCGCUGCCGCGGCCGCCCAGCAGCAGCAACAACAGCAACAGAGCAUGCACGCAAUGGCGGCCCAGCAGAACGCUCAGCAGCAACAGCACCAUCCUCACCAACAGUCGCAGCAGCAGCAACAGCAAUCGCAUCAUCAGGCUAACAAUCACAGCAAUCCAAACAACCCGAACAACCCGAGCAAUUCCGCCAAUGCCAAGAAUAACAACGUGGACCGGGUGAAGAGGCCGAUGAACGCCUUCAUGGUGUGGUCGCGUGGACAACGUCGCAAGAUGGCCCAAGACAAUCCUAAAAUGCACAAUUCCGAGAUAUCAAAGCGCCUCGGUGCCGAGUGGAAACUCCUCAGCGAGACGGAGAAGCGCCCGUUUAUCGACGAGGCGAAACGGCUGCGCGCGGUGCACAUGAAGGAGCACCCCGAUUACAAGUACCGGCCGCGCCGCAAAACAAAGACGCUAAUAAAGAAGGACAAGUUCCAGCUUGGCGGAAGUGUCGCUGGUGUCGGCGGUAUGCUUAGCGUCGAUCAACGGCAGGUCGGGACGAGCGGCGGACCGCAGCAGCCGCAGUUACCGCGUGACGUGUAUCAGAUGCCCAACGGCUACAUGCCCAACGGUUACAUGAUGCACGAUCCGGCGACCGCGUAUCAGCAGCACGUAGCGUACGGCAGUCACAUGGGUGGUGCGGCGGCCGCCUCGGCCGUCGCUUAUCCCAGGUACGAUUCUAUGGGCCAUCAUAUGGGCGGCGGGAGUCCCAGUCCGAUCAACAGCUACAUGAACGGCUACGGUGGAUACGGCGGUACCACCGCCGUACCCGGCGGCUCGCCAUCCCCUUACCACCAGGCCCAACCGGGUUCCCAAUUGUCCAGCCAUAGUCCUAGUGGCAGCAGCAUAAAGUCCGAGCCGACGAGUCCGGCGAGCGGCGGCGGUAUACACACGCCGACGCCGACGGGCGGCCCGACGACGACGGGAGCGGCCGGGCCUGCCGGCCAGGCGGUCAAGCGGGAGUACAUGGGUCAGCAGCAGACGCAACAAACGCAGGGCGAUCUCCGGCAGAUGAUCUCGAUGUACCUGCCGCAGGGCGUCGAACAGGGAGUCGUGCAACACGGCAGCGUCUAUUCCCCGGGUCCGUCGCCCGACCCCUUGGCGCAGCAUCACGCGGCCAUGCAGCCGAUUGCGCACAUGUCAGAUAGCGAUCGUAAAAUGUUGAACCCGGAGACCGGAUGCUACUCCGAAUCCGUACGAGCAUGGGAUUGGAACGCGACGGGCAACGUACGCGUGCAGGAAUCCUGGCCGACGUGAACGACUCUCGCCGCGACAAUGUCGAACCAUUCCACCACCGAAGGAUCAGGCUCCUUGAUUGUUUCGCGCGCUACGGUAUCAGUGGUUGGAGAAAACACGUUACGUGACUCUGAGACGUGACUCGAGAUCGUGAAGAAUAUUCUUAAAUGAAAAUUAGAACGAUACUUUGCAUUUAUAUAUAUUGUUAGAGAUCAUGAGAUUUCCACCUACUUUUGAGGAGCACAUGAUAAUUGUUAUUAUUAUAGUUACGUGUAAGAUCGCGCGCAAUUAUCGUUACUCAGCAUCGUCAAUUAUCAUUAUCGCACCUGCAAUAAGUGUAGGGCGUUUGAAUAAUUCAUGCCGUUCGCUUGAAAGCAUUUGAGCGCGCUGUUCUCUUUUUUGGUAGAUCGGUAUGCAUAAAUAAGAGAAAGUUUCUAGAAAUACGAGAAUCCAGAUAACUCUGUCCUCCGUCAUAAAUCACAUUUACGUCACAUUUAUAAACGCUAAUUGCAUAAUUCUAUCAAUUCACGACUACUCUUUAACCAAAUGAAAUUUACUUUUAUAAAAUAAAUAUAAAUUAUAUUUAAGAUAAGCGAUUGUACAUAUGUUUAAGUUUUAAAAUAACUGCAAAAUAACAAGUAUCC
RNAcentral lists this unclassified non-coding RNA (5228 nucleotides) under Monomorium pharaonis (pharaoh ant). RNAcentral's name for it is "transcription factor Sox-2, transcript variant X5". The record is from RNAcentral. Lineage: Eukaryota; Metazoa; Arthropoda; Insecta; Hymenoptera; Formicidae.